AAUCCAUGGUUUGAACAUUUUUUUAAUAAUGCUUUAUAUCUCUCCCAAGCUUCACAGAAGUGUUCAUCAACUCCUUGGGAGAAAGUUUCAAUAACAUCCUUUUCAAU
Small nucleolar RNA from Vigna umbellata (rice bean), 107 nucleotides. The record is from RefSeq and is a predicted model, not a curated record. Lineage: Eukaryota; Viridiplantae; Streptophyta; Magnoliopsida; Fabales; Fabaceae.